AUUCAUUGUCUCUUAUUGUAACCGUCAAACUAAAAUAUCUUCACUAAUUUUGAUUCCUGGGUUUCAUUGUAUUUAAUUUAAUUAACUUCAAUUCUCAGUGAAACUUUGAUCUAAUGUAAUCACGAACAUUUUGUGUGCGGUUAAAGAUUCAAUACAAUUGAUAUUUAUUGUGUGUAAAUUGAUUUCUUUUGAUUACCUCUCGUGACUCUGGUUGGAUCAGUAAUUUGAUUGAGCUUUUAUUUUUACUUUUCAUUAUUUUCAUCGUUUCAAUUUUCUUCUUUCAAACAUCUUCUGCUAAUUUAAUUUCUCUAAAACUGUUUCACCAUCAUCAUCACCACCACCAAUAAAUCGAUUUGAAUGAACCAGAUAAUAAAUUGGUUUCUUUCUCUUGUCAUUCAAAACGGCCAAACAAUCAGAGCUCGACCCAGUUGACAAAACAUGAUAGUGAUGAGAUCAAGGAUGGGUAAAGUAGCUAUCGAGGUAAAACCUAAAUUGUUGAUCUUUAAAGGACAAUUGAAUCUCAUGAGUCUUAAUUCAGUCAAGGCUACAAGAAUGGUUAAAUAUUUCAUUGUUAUGAAGUCACAAGUGAACGAUGCUAAUAACCUAAUCAAAUGGAUUUGCUAUGGUCACCAUUUAUAAGAGUGAGAUGCUGAUUCUAAUGAGUAAAUAACGGAAAUAUUUUUAUUGACCUUAACUGACCUAAACACUGUUUCCAAUGGACACAAAGCAGUGCUGUGCUGCUCAUUUAAGGAGUAGCACCAUUAUCAUCAUCACUGAACUUGAUAAUAUUUUUUUCUGGUUAACUUUCGAGUAAUUGAUUCUCUUUCUCUCCUUACAAUGGACCAAAACUGUGAGAAUAAUUUGCACCAAACAUAACCUACUGCGGAGAAGGAAUUUUUUGAUAACUUUGAAAUCUAACGUGAAUGAUACUUAUCGCAAGAUGUUACAAAAUGAGUGAUGAAGAUGAUGGCCAGAAGAAGAUGAUUACUGAAGAUAAAAAUAAACAAUUGAAGCCUGAAGAUUUAUUUAUCUAUUUUGUAUCAACAGGACCAACUGUGAAUCAAUAAUUUUAAAUUGGGCCAUUCUAAUAAUCUAAAUGUUGCUGGUUAACUCUUCACUUGUUGUUAUAAUUCAGAGUUGACAAGGAACCAUUUUAAAAGUUGUCAUCAUCAUCUUGUUUCUAUUAUCAUGAUUUCGAUUAUUAUUAUCAUUAUUUGUUGGUACCUUUAACUAUUAACAGCAACAACGCUAUUAUCAUCAUGAUCUGUGUUGCUCAAAGGCUGCUGGUAGUAAUAAUAAACAGUUUAACCGGUUAAUAAUAGCACCAAAGCUCAAUCUAAAAGUACAGAAUUGAAAAGUUAUUGCUGCCAGCAUCAACACGCCCUCUCAUUAUCAGCUUACUGACCUGACUAUUUGUCCACUUUUGGAAAUAAUUUCACUUGAUGUUUUUCAAUUGCAAAAAAAAGAGAUUGGUGAAAGAGUGGAAAACAUGGUAGCGAACAAUUUUUGAAACCUGAAUAUUUAAUAUUUCUAUUGAAAAUGGUUGGCUCAUUCAAUCAAUCUGAUUACAUCAACUUUGACAAUAAUAGGCAUCUUCAUAGAUCCUGUUUUCUGGUUGAGCAAAUCUGAAGAUUCAAAUAAUCAAGAAUCGCCACUUUCAUCAUCCUCAUCAUGACCAAUAACGAAAAUUACAAAACAUUUUCCAACAUGCAUCAAGAUUUUCAAUUAUUUCAUCAUUAAUUCGUGAAAACUGUUAAUUUAAGGACUACAAACUAAAGGCUGUCAUGAUGCAAAAACGUUCAUCACAAGAGAAAGCCUCGCCAUCAACAUCAAUCACAUCACUCAUGUCUUACUUACAUCACCAUAAUCAUAAUAAUAAACAUCAUCAACAAAUUUGACAAAUUUGGCUCAUUAUACAAGUUGGUUUGUGUCAAAGGAGACUCACAAUAUUGGGAUCAAAGUAAAUGGUACCAAAUGCCGGAGUUGAAUAAUCAAAAUUUGACCUCGAAGUGGUUUCAAUUAACUCUUUACAAUUGAUGUAUCAAAGAAAGAAAAAAGAUUUCAUCAAAUUUCAUUGAAAAAACUGCGCUGAAUGGUCAACUGAACAGAUUCAAAGUCAUCGGCUUCAAUAGCAUAUUCAUGAAUGGAGAUAUUGAGAAAACCUUUCAAUCUUUAUCAUAAAAAACAAGUCAAAAACACGAUGAAAAAACAUGAAAUGAAAAAAUGAAUCAGGAACCAAUGGUAACCUCCAAAUUUUCUUUGGCCUGUAAAACUGUAACAUACACUUUCAAUGAUCAGGUUGAUAAAUGGAAAUAAGAUUAAUUCACUGCAUGGGUCUAGACAAUACAUCUUACAAGGAAGGGAUUACUAUUUAAUCAAAGAAUUGUCAAGAAAAUGUAAAAAUGUAUCAAAAUAAUACAAUCAAGUUCAAUAUUUUAUCCAAUGAUAUUUACACUGUUCAACCCCGGGAAUAAUCAAUCAAGAUAAAUUGUUGGCUUUAUUGUUUGGCCAAUAAUCAAGGUUAUAUCCUGAUUCUGGAUGGUGCAGUUAUUUGACUGAAAUUUUCAACAAAUAAUGAAAGGGCAAUAUAAAUAAAUUUUGUUAAGGCCUCACAGUUGGAUGAAAAGAUGUAUUGGUCAACCCGUGUUCAUGAUGAUGACCCUUACAAAACGAGUUGAAAUCACAAUCAAUCCACUAAUUGUAUUGCUGAAGACGGAGAAGAAGAAGAAGAAGAAAGGAGAAAUUAUUAAACAAAACCAUCUUCCUUUAACUAAAUCAAAUUUAACUAAAGGUUUACUGUUAACAGCAGGAAAAGUGUUUCAUUGAAAACAAAAAGAUGAAACAUUCAAGGUAAUGAAAGAUUGCGUGAGAUGGAUUCAUAUUACAUGGUGAUGUUGAUCCGGAUGAUGAUUAUAAAGAAGUGUUACUCUUGUUUUUUUCCUCAUUUUUUGGUAAAUUGCUAAUCUUAAAGACGAAGUGCAAUGUUCCUCUAAGGCCAUAAUAUCUUCAUCAUCAUCAUCACCUUAUAGCCUUUAACUGUCAUCUCUUUCAUUCUGUUCAUCACUAUUAUCGCUGGAGCCACUUUUUUACCUUCAAAGUCUUAUAAUAUUGUUGCAUUGAAACGCGUGGCUUGACUUUACACGCUCAACGAUUUCUGGCUAAACAUUCGUGUUAUUAUGAAAUGGAUAACGUUUUUCCGAACGGAAUAAGGAAGAAGAUGGUGAAGAUAACAUAAUCAAGAUGGAACCCAAAUAUUGAUUCAAGAUGGUUAUCAAAUUGUUACCAAUAAUAACAAUAAUAUUGUAAAAAUUGUUAACACUUUUUGAAUACCAACACUUGGCUCUAGUAAUCAUCAAUUUUUGAGCUUACAAAUUUUCUGGUUCACAAGCAAUCACAGUAGCUGGUAAACAUUUACUGGAAAUACAAAUGAAAAUUGUUAUCAAAGUAACUAUUUUUAUUUGUAACAAAGUGUUUCAAUAUAAUUAUUCAAUAAUUUGAUUAUCUUCUUGACUGUUCAUCAGCUCUAAUCAAUGAGUCGAUUUGUGUAAACACCAAUUGAUUGAAAGUGUUGAGUUGCACAAUUAAACAAUCAAUUUAACUGUGAAUGUUAAUUUGUAAUCGUUUGAUCAUUUCAACAAUUACUAUUUCUCCAUUCAAUUGACAGUAAUAAGCUUCAAUUGCAUUUCAUCAUACGCGGUUGUUGGUCAUUUUUAUAACAGUUGAUGGUGAUGAUGGUCAAGUAUUGAUGUAUUACGUUUUAAAAAAAGCUCUAGUCAAUAUUGAAGGAUUUGCUGAUUUAUUCAAUUACCCAUUAAACUUGAUUAAAAUAAA
Tetranychus urticae (two-spotted spider mite) is the source of this 3831-nucleotide non-coding RNA. Lineage: Eukaryota; Metazoa; Arthropoda; Arachnida; Trombidiformes; Tetranychidae. The record is from RefSeq and is a predicted model, not a curated record.